CAUGGCACCAGUCCCAAGCCUGAGGGAACAGCAGGAUGGUGUGGCUGGGUUGGGUCCAGUCAGGCUUGUGCAAUAAUGCAGCCCUGUAAGACCAAGACAGCCAGGACUUCUAGCCAAUGCAAUAUGGAGUGGUCCAGAGUACUUAGAAGUCACUCUAGGUGACAGCGUACCCUGAAAGAUGGGGAAACUUCAUCAAGAAAAAAUGCAAAACCAGCAUAAGGAAGAUGUAAUUAUAUAAAAAACAUGAAGACAGUCGUGAAUGCCAGUAUGUGUAUUGCUGCUCUUCUUUGACAGAUGGAGAAUCAGGAGUCAGCCCCUCAGUGCUGAAUGACGGAACAAAGAAGGAGUCUGUGAAAGGUCUUGAAAGAUAAAAUACAUCACUUAU
Molecule: long non-coding RNA, 385 nt
Organism: Vidua chalybeata
Lineage: Eukaryota; Metazoa; Chordata; Aves; Passeriformes; Viduidae
Exons: 5
Source: RefSeq, a predicted model, not a curated record